RNAcentral lists this ribosomal RNA (482 nucleotides) under Salmonella enterica subsp. enterica serovar Amsterdam. RNAcentral describes it as "partial 23S ribosomal RNA". It matches the Rfam family "Bacterial large subunit ribosomal RNA", at positions 1273 to 1757 of the family's 2925-position model. Lineage: Bacteria; Pseudomonadati; Pseudomonadota; Gammaproteobacteria; Enterobacterales; Enterobacteriaceae. The record is from RNAcentral.
CUGGAGGUAUCAGAAGUGCGAAUGCUGACAUAAGUAACGAUAAAGCGGGUGAAAAGCCCGCUCGCCGGAAGACCAAGGGUUCCUGUCCAACGUUAAUCGGGGCAGGGUGAGUCGACCCCUAAGGCGAGGCCGAAAGGCGUAGUCGAUGGGAAACGGGUUAAUAUUCCCGUACUUGGUGUUACUGCGAAGGGGGGACGGAGAAGGCUAUGUUGGCCGGGCGACGGUUGUCCCGGUUUAAGCGUGUAGGCUGGUUUUCCAGGCAAAUCCGGAAAAUCAAGGCUGAGGCGUGAUGACGAGGCACUACGGUGCUGAAGCAACAAAUGCCCUGCUUCCAGGAAAAGCCUCUAAGCAUCAGGUAACAUCAAAUCGUACCCCAAACCGACACAGGUGGUCAGGUAGAGAAUACCAAGGCGCUUGAGAGAACUCGGGUGAAGGAACUAGGCAAAAUGGUGCCGUAACUUCGGGAGAAGGCACGCUGACAC